Molecule: long non-coding RNA, 774 nt
Organism: Eucalyptus grandis
Lineage: Eukaryota; Viridiplantae; Streptophyta; Magnoliopsida; Myrtales; Myrtaceae
Exons: 2
Source: RefSeq, a predicted model, not a curated record
CUUAUUCACUCUUAUCUCUCCUCUCUCUUCUCUCUUCUCCCCCAUGUGACUGAAAGCCCCCUUCUUCUUGUUUCUUGCUCGUGAAAACCAGAAGCUAAGCAGAAGCCGAACCGAAUACGGCAGAGACAGAGCAGCUCGCCGAACCGCCGUCUGCUCCACCGCCCGCCGCUUUCCCGCCGUUCACGCGUGCGCCGCCCCACCGAGCUGCCGUCCGUCCCUCUCCUCACGCCAGUCCAGCGCUGUCCAGCUUCCAUCUGCCUCUGUCCGACCUCGUUCCAGCCUCCGUGAGCGGCUGAGCAGACCACCGGAGCCGCCGUGUAGCCUCGCCGGACCGCCGCCUACCUUCCCGACCCCUUGCCACCCCCAACCCUCUCUCUUUCUCUCUGUUUUGCAGCCGAACCAGCAAACCUAAGACUUGGUUUCCAAUGGCUUUGGGCCCGCUUUUGAGCCGUUUCCGGGCCUCAAACCCGAGCCAUGCUUUGGAGUUUAUUGUUCAUCGCGUUGCCCCCGUCGGAUUGAUCCGAUUUGCGCGCGAUUCCGGAUCCCAUUGAGGAGCUAAGGAGGAGGAAUCGGAGAAGGAGAGCUCUAAAGUAAAACUAGAGGAAAAGAAUUUUUGGAAAAAAGAAGAUAAUGGAGUAUAACUUGGAUGGACUGAGAUUUUAUCUUCUUUUGAGAACUCCCUUUUGAUGUGAAUAGUUAUGGAGUACUUUGAUUUGUAUUUUGUAUAAAAGUUUAGUUAUAAGUUUCAAUAUGAAAAAUAUGGCAUUGCUUUUC